Molecule: ribosomal RNA, 460 nt
Filed under: uncultured bacterium
Lineage: Bacteria
Description: partial 16S ribosomal RNA
Rfam family: Bacterial small subunit ribosomal RNA
Source: RNAcentral
CCUACGGGUGGCAGCAGUGAGGAAUAUUGGUCAAUGGACGAGAGUCUGAACCAGCCAAGUAGCGUGAAGGAUGACUGCCCUAUGGGUUGUAAACUUCUUUUAUAAAGGAAUAAAACAAGGCACGUGUGCCUUUUUGCAUGUACUUUAUGAAUAAGGAUCGGCUAACUCCGUGCCAGCAGCCGCGGUAAUACGGAGGAUCCGAGCGUUAUCCGGAUUUAUUGGGUUUAAAGGGAGCGUAGAUGGGUUGUUAAGUCAGUUGUGAAAGUUUGCGGCUCAACCGUAAAAUUGCAAUUGAUACUGGCAGUCGUGAGUACAGUUGAGGUAGGCGGAAUUCGUGGUGUAGCGGUGAAAUGCUUAGAUAUCACGAAGAACCCCGAUUGCGAAGGCAGCUUACUAAACUGUGACUGACAUUGAUGCUCGAAAGUGUGGGUAUCAAACAGGAUUAGAUACCCUUGUAGUC